This 433-nucleotide ribosomal RNA is filed under the name uncultured bacterium. RNAcentral's name for it is "partial 16S ribosomal RNA". It matches the Rfam family "Bacterial small subunit ribosomal RNA", at positions 29 to 507 of the family's 1533-position model. The record is from RNAcentral.
AACGAACGCUGGCGGCAUGCCUAACACAUGCAAGUCGAACGAGACCUUCGGGUCUAGUGGCGCACGGGUGCGUAACACGUGGGAAUCUGCCCUUUGCUUCGGAAUAACAAUUAGAAAUGACUGCUAAUACCGGAUGAUGUCGAAAGACCAAAGAUUUAUCGGCAAAGGAUGAGCCCGCGUAGGAUUAGGUAGUUGGUGGGGUAAAGGCCUACCAAGCCGACGAUCCUUAGCUGGUCUGAGAGGAUGAUCAGCCACACUGGGACUGAGACACGGCCCAGACUCCUACGGGAGGCAGCAGUGGGGAAUAUUGGACAAUGGGCGAAAGCCUGAUCCAGCAAUGCCGCGUGAGUGAUGAAGGCCUUAGGGUUGUAAAGCUCUUUUACCAGGGAUGAUAAUGACAGUACCUGGAGAAUAAGCGCCGGCUAACUCCGUG